RNAcentral lists this transfer RNA (76 nucleotides) under Alicyclobacillus acidocaldarius subsp. acidocaldarius Tc-4-1. RNAcentral describes it as "tRNA-Val (TAC) (tRNA-Val-TAC-1-1)". It matches the Rfam family "tRNA". Rfam says of the family: Transfer RNA (tRNA) molecules are approximately 80 nucleotides in length. Their secondary structure includes four short double-helical elements and three loops (D, anti-codon, and T loops). Further hydrogen bonds mediate the characteristic L-shaped molecular structure. tRNAs have two regions of fundamental functional importance: the anti-codon, which is responsible for specific mRNA codon recognition, and the 3' end, to which the tRNAs corresponding amino acid is attached (by aminoacyl-tRNA synthetases). tRNAs cope with the degeneracy of the genetic code in two manners: having more than one tRNA (with a specific anti-codon) for a particular amino acid; and 'wobble' base-pairing, i.e. permitting non-standard base-pairing at the 3rd anti-codon position. The record is from RNAcentral. RNAcentral also lists the same sequence under 3 other names. Lineage: Bacteria; Bacillati; Bacillota; Bacilli; Caryophanales; Alicyclobacillaceae.
GGGCGUUUAGCUCAGUUGGGAGAGCAUCUGCCUUACAAGCAGGGGGUCGGCGGUUCGAGUCCGUCAACGCCCACCA